This 468-nucleotide ribosomal RNA is filed under the name uncultured bacterium. RNAcentral describes it as "partial 16S ribosomal RNA". It matches the Rfam family "Bacterial small subunit ribosomal RNA", at positions 28 to 507 of the family's 1533-position model. The record is from RNAcentral.
GACGAACGCUGGCGGCGUGCUUAACACAUGCAAGUCGAACGGAAAGGCCCUGCUUUUGUGGGGUGCUCGAGUGGCGAACGGGUGGGUAACACGUGAGUAACCUGCCCUUGACUUUGGGAUAACUUCAGGAAACUGGGGCUAAUACCGGAUAGGAGCUCCUGCUGCAUGGUGGGGGUUGGAAAGUUUCGGCGGUUGGGGAUGGACUCGCGGCUUAUCAGCUUGUUGGUGGGGUAGUGGCUUACCAAGGCUUUGACGGGUAGCCGGCCUGAGAGGGUGACCGGCCACAUUGGGACUGAGAUACGGCCCAGACUCCUACGGGAGGCAGCAGUGGGGAAUAUUGCACAAUGGGCGGAAGCCUGAUGCAGCAACGCCGCGUGCGGAAUGACGGCCUUCGGGUUGUAAACCGCUUUCGCCUGUGACGAAGCGUGAGUGACGGUAAUGGGUAAAGAAGCACCGGCUAACUACGUG